Molecule: ribosomal RNA, 260 nt
Filed under: uncultured bacterium
Lineage: Bacteria
Description: partial 16S ribosomal RNA
Rfam family: Bacterial small subunit ribosomal RNA
Source: RNAcentral
UACGUAGGGUGCGAGCGUUUGUCCGGAAUUAUUGGGCGUAAAGAGCUUGUAGGUGGUUUUGUCGCGUCUGCUGUGAAAAUCCGAGACUCAACCUCGGACUUGCAGUGGGUACGGGCAGACUAGAGUGUGGUAGGGGAGACUGGAAUUCCUGGUGUAGCGGUGAAAUGCGCAGAUAUCAGGAGGAACACCGGUGGCGGAAGGCGGCCCACUGGAUCGGUACUGACGCUUGGAGGGUGCGAAAGCGUGGGGGAGCAAACAGG